UACGGAGGGUGCAAGCGUUAUCCGGAUUCACUGAGUUUAAAGGGUGCGUAGGCGGGCAGGUAAGUCAGUGGUGAAAUCUCCGGGCUUAACCCGGAAACUGCCGUUGAUACUAUCUGUCUUGAAUAUCGUGGAGGUAAGCGGAAUAUGUCAUGUAGCGGUGAAAUGCUUAGAUAUGACAUAGAACACCCAUUGCGAAGGCAGCUUACUACACGAUCAUUGACGCUGAGGCACGAAAGCGUGGGGAGCAAACAGG
RNAcentral lists this ribosomal RNA (253 nucleotides) under uncultured bacterium. Its description in RNAcentral is "partial 16S ribosomal RNA". It matches the Rfam family "Bacterial small subunit ribosomal RNA", at positions 524 to 776 of the family's 1533-position model. The record is from RNAcentral.